AGACCGAUAGCGAACAAGUACCGUGAGGGAAAGAUGAAAAGCACUUUGGAAAGAGAGUUAACAGUACGUGAAAUUGUUGGAAGGGAAACACAUGCAGUGAUACUUGCUAUUCGGGGCAACUCGAUUGGCAGGCCCGCAUCAGUUUUUCGGGGCGGAAAAGCAUGGAUUGAAGGUAGCAGUCUCGGCUGUGUUAUAGCUUUCCAUUGGAUUCGCCCUGGGGGACUGAGGAACGCAGCGUGCUUUUUGCAUGAGCUUCGGCUUAUCCACGCUUAGGAUGCGGGUUUAUGGCUGUAUAUGACCCGUCUUGAAACACGGACCAAG
This 321-nucleotide ribosomal RNA is filed under the name Rhodotorula glutinis. Its description in RNAcentral is "LSU rRNA". It matches the Rfam family "Eukaryotic large subunit ribosomal RNA", at positions 331 to 670 of the family's 3401-position model. The record is from RNAcentral. Lineage: Eukaryota; Fungi; Basidiomycota; Microbotryomycetes; Sporidiobolales; Sporidiobolaceae.